AUGGCCAGGGGGGAGGGUGUACUGCCACACAAUCCACCCCGUGACCACAGUCACGAUUCGACUGGUUUCCUUGGAGUGGUGGUACAGUCACCUCUUGCCUCCAAAGUUAAAAGGGAGCGUAGUCUGAUGAAUUUGAUGCUCAUUGUGGGUCAUCAUUCCAUUCUGGUCUAGAAUUAAAGUGGAAUAUCGGACACAGGAAUAUUCAGUGCACGAACAGGUUUUAAGGGAGUAUACUUAACUGUUAGUACAGACUUCACUACCACACAUUUGAUAGAACUUAUUGCAAUAUAGAUGACAAUAAUCAUAAC
Long non-coding RNA from Aquila chrysaetos chrysaetos, 308 nucleotides. RefSeq lists it as uncharacterized. The record is from RefSeq and is a predicted model, not a curated record. NCBI's taxonomy places the organism in Eukaryota, Metazoa, Chordata, Aves, Accipitriformes, Accipitridae. The transcript has 3 exons.